GAUGAACGCUAGCGGCGUGCCUAACACAUGCAAGUCGAACGUGAGAGGGUACUUGUAUCCUUGAAAGUGGCGGACGGGUGAGUAAGACGUAGGUGACCUGCCUUGAAGUGGGGGAUAACCAUUGGAAACGAUGGCUAAUACCGCAUAAGCUGGUGACGAUGGGAAUCGUUAUCAGGAAAGCUUUAGUGCUUUGAGAGGGGCCUACGGCCGAUUAGCUAGUUGGUGAGGUAAAGGCUCACCAAGGCGAUGAUCGGUAGCUGGUCUGAGAGGACGAUCAGCCACACGGGAACUGAGACACGGUCCAGACUCCUACGGGAGGCAGCAGUAAGGAAUAUUGCUCAAUGGCCGAAAGGCUGAAGCAGCAACGCCGCGUGGAGGAUGAAAUACUUUUGUAUGUAAACUCCUGUAAGAAGGGAAAAUAUGCAGUUUUUCUGCAUUGAUUGUACCUUCAGAGUAAGCCCCGGCUAACUACGUGCCAGCAGCCGCGGU
Molecule: ribosomal RNA, 489 nt
Filed under: uncultured bacterium
Lineage: Bacteria
Description: partial 16S ribosomal RNA
Rfam family: Bacterial small subunit ribosomal RNA
Source: RNAcentral